GAUGAACGCUGGCGGCGUGCCUAAUACAUGCAAGUCGAGCGAACAGACGAGGAGCUUGCUCCUCUGACGUUAGCGGCGGACGGGUGAGUAACACGUGGAUAACCUACCUAUAAGACUGGGAUAACUUCGGGAAACCGUAGCUAAUACCGGAUAAUAUAUUCAACCGCAUGGUUCAAUAGUGAAAGACGGUUUUGCUGUCACUUAUAGAUGGAUCCGCGCCGCAUUAGCUAGUUGGUAAGGUAACGGCUUACCAAGGCGACGAUGCGUAGCCGACCUGAGAGGGUGAUCGGCCACACUGGAAGUGAGACACGGUGCAGACUCCUAAGGGAGGCAGCAGUAGGGAAUCUUCCGCAAUGGGCGAAAGCAUGACGGAGCAACGCCGCGUGAGUGAUGAAGGUCUUCGGAUCGUAAAACUCUGUUAUUAGGGAAGAACAAAUGUGUAAGUAACUAUGCACGUCUUGACGGUACCUAAUCAGAAAGCCACGGCUAACUACGUG
RNAcentral lists this ribosomal RNA (497 nucleotides) under uncultured bacterium. RNAcentral's name for it is "partial 16S ribosomal RNA". It matches the Rfam family "Bacterial small subunit ribosomal RNA", at positions 28 to 507 of the family's 1533-position model. The record is from RNAcentral.